Molecule: transfer RNA, 72 nt
Filed under: Acidimicrobiia bacterium
Lineage: Bacteria; Bacillati; Actinomycetota; Acidimicrobiia
Also listed under: 1 other name
Description: tRNA-Val
Rfam family: tRNA
About the family: Transfer RNA (tRNA) molecules are approximately 80 nucleotides in length. Their secondary structure includes four short double-helical elements and three loops (D, anti-codon, and T loops).
Source: RNAcentral
GGGCGCUUAGCUCAGCGGGAGAGCGCUUCCUUGACAUGGAAGAGGUCACAGGUUCAAUCCCUGUAGCGCCCA